This 1039-nucleotide long non-coding RNA is filed under the name Homo sapiens (human). RNAcentral describes it as "long intergenic non-protein coding RNA 293". The record is from RNAcentral. Lineage: Eukaryota; Metazoa; Chordata; Mammalia; Primates; Hominidae.
AUAUAUCUAGGCAAAUUGCCUAGAAGUGAAUCCCCUCUCCUGCUUAAGUCCUUCCCACAGAGAGCGGUUUGAUAUGUCACUGAAACCAGCAUCCAGGUGGUAUUGCUCCAUAUGCCUGAGACCCUAACAAAAGCCUAAUUACAACUCAUAUGCCUGGAGCCAGGACAUGUGCAGGAUGACUCUGCCAAGAGAGGGGAUUAUUACAUAUUGCAGAGCCCAGCACCUAGGUGGAGUGACUCUCAUCUUUUUCUUCUACCCCGUAUAUAGCCAGCUUGGUGACCUACUAUUUGAGUCUAUACCCAGGCCCAGACCACAGAUGAAAUUGUGCAAUAUGUGGAACAAACACCUAAACAAUAUAUAACACCUUCCUUGGCUCUGUCUACAAAGGGCACUUUUAUAUAUCACUGGGACCAUCAACCAGGUGAUGUUAAUUAUCUUCCUGAAACCUGUCUACAAAGAGAGUUGUGUCGUAUACCUAGGCCCGUCAUGUGAUGUUGUGCCAUAUAACUGAGACCGUAUCAAAAGCCUAAUAACAAGACGUAUGUCUGGAGCCCCGAUAUGCACAGGAUGGUGAUAUAACCCUCUUCUCUGGAAUGGGCCCCACACAAAGGAAGGAUAGUGACAUAUUGCAAGCCCAGGCACACAGGCCCAGAGCACAGUUGAAAUUGUGACAUAUGUACACCAAGCAACCAAGCAAUGUAUAACACCUCAUUUGGCAAUGGAAUCGAGGGCACUUUUACAUAUCACUGAGACCAGCGCCCAGCUGAUGUGAAAUAUUGGCCUGAACCCUGCCUACAAAAGCAUUGUGGCUUUUAUCUAGCUCCAUUACAUAAGUGAUGUGACUUCCUUCUACUGCCUUGGCCCUGCACUUAUGGUGAAUCGUGACACAAAAUUGGGUAGAGCAACCAGCCUGGGCCCUGACCAGCACAGAGAUUGAGGCAUAUUGCUGAACCCAGGACCAAGAUGAAGUCACUCUCCUGCCUUGAUCCUGCACACAGGGACCCUUGUGACAUAUAUACAGGCCAAUUGCCUAGGUAAA